This 1180-nucleotide ribosomal RNA is filed under the name Salmonella enterica subsp. enterica serovar Infantis. RNAcentral's name for it is "partial 23S ribosomal RNA". It matches the Rfam family "Bacterial large subunit ribosomal RNA", at positions 1752 to 2925 of the family's 2925-position model. Lineage: Bacteria; Pseudomonadati; Pseudomonadota; Gammaproteobacteria; Enterobacterales; Enterobacteriaceae. The record is from RNAcentral.
UGAUUUACUCAUGGAGCUGAAGUCAGUCGAAGAUACCAGCUGGCUGCAACUGUUUAUUAAAAACACAGCACUGUGCAAACACGAAAGUGGACGUAUACGGUGUGACGCCUGCCCGGUGCCGGAAGGUUAAUUGAUGGGGUCAGCGCAAGCGAAGCUCCUGAUCGAAGCCCCGGUAAACGGCGGCCGUAACUAUAACGGUCCUAAGGUAGCGAAAUUCCUUGUCGGGUAAGUUCCGACCUGCACGAAUGGCGUAAUGAUGGCCAGGCUGUCUCCACCCGAGACUCAGUGAAAUUGAACUCGCUGUGAAGAUGCAGUGUACCCGCGGCAAGACGGAAAGACCCCGUGAACCUUUACUAUAGCUUGACACUGAACAUUGAGCCUUGAUGUGUAGGAUAGGUGGGAGGCUUUGAAGCGUGGACGCCAGUCUGCGUGGAGCCGACCUUGAAAUACCACCCUUUAAUGUUUGAUGUUCUAACGUGGAUCCGUAAUCCGGGUUGCGGACAGUGUCUGGUGGGUAGUUUGACUGGGGCGGUCUCCUCCUAAAGAGUAACGGAGGAGCACGAAGGUUGGCUAAUCCUGGUCGGACAUCAGGAGGUUAGUGCAAUGGCAUAAGCCAGCUUGACUGCGAGCGUGACGGCGCGAGCAGGUGCGAAAGCAGGUCAUAGUGAUCCGGUGGUUCUGAAUGGAAGGGCCAUCGCUCAACGGAUAAAAGGUACUCCGGGGAUAACAGGCUGAUACCGCCCAAGAGUUCAUAUCGACGGCGGUGUUUGGCACCUCGAUGUCGGCUCAUCACAUCCUGGGGCUGAAGUAGGUCCCAAGGGUAUGGCUGUUCGCCAUUUAAAGUGGUACGCGAGCUGGGUUUAGAACGUCGUGAGACAGUUCGGUCCCUAUCUGCCGUGGGCGCUGGAGAACUGAGGGGGGCUGCUCCUAGUACGAGAGGACCGGAGUGGACGCAUCACUGGUGUUCGGGUUGUCAUGCCAAUGGCACUGCCCGGUAGCUAAAUGCGGAAGAGAUAAGUGCUGAAAGCAUCUAAGCACGAAACUUGCCCCGAGAUGAGUUCUCCCUGAGACUUAGAGUCUCCUGAAGGAACGUUGAAGACGACGACGUUGAUAGGCCGGGUGUGUAAGCGCAGCGAUGCGUUGAGCUAACCGGUACUAAUGAACCGUGAGGCUUAACCUU